Molecule: ribosomal RNA, 477 nt
Filed under: Streptococcus mitis
Lineage: Bacteria; Bacillati; Bacillota; Bacilli; Lactobacillales; Streptococcaceae
Description: bacterial SSU rRNA
Rfam family: Bacterial small subunit ribosomal RNA
Source: RNAcentral
GACGAACGCUGGCGGCGUGCCUAAUACAUGCAAGUAGAACGCUGAAGGAGGAGCUUGCUUCUCUGGAUGAGUUGCGAACGGGUGAGUAACGCGUAGGUAACCUGCCUGGUAGCGGGGGAUAACUAUUGGAAACGAUAGCUAAUACCGCAUAAUAGUAGAUGUUGCAUGACAUUUGCUUAAAAGGUGCAAUUGCAUCACUACCAGAUGGACCUGCGUUGUAUUAGCUAGUUGGUGAGGUAACGGCUCACCAAGGCGACGAUACAUAGCCGACCUGAGAGGGUGAUCGGCCACACUGGGACUGAGACACGGCCCAGACUCCUACGGGAGGCAGCAGUAGGGAAUCUUCGGCAAUGGACGGAAGUCUGACCGAGCAACGCCGCGUGAGUGAAGAAGGUUUUCGGAUCGUAAAGCUCUGUUGUAAGAGAAGAACGAGUGUGAGAGUGGAAAGUUCACACUGUGACGGUAUCUACCAGAAAA